RNAcentral lists this ribosomal RNA (894 nucleotides) under Cladosporium sphaerospermum. Its description in RNAcentral is "eukaryotic LSU rRNA". It matches the Rfam family "Eukaryotic large subunit ribosomal RNA", at positions 31 to 952 of the family's 3401-position model. The record is from RNAcentral. Lineage: Eukaryota; Fungi; Ascomycota; Dothideomycetes; Cladosporiales; Cladosporiaceae.
AAACUAGCAUAUCAAUAAGCGGAGGAAAAGAAACCAACAGGGAUUGCUCUAGUAACGGCGAGUGAAGCAGCAAUAGCUCAAAUUUGAAAUCUGGCGUCUUCGGCGUCCGAGUUGUAAUUUGUAGAGGAUGCUUCUGGGCAGCCACCGACCUAAGUUCCUUGGAACAGGACGUCAUAGAGGGUGAGAAUCCCGUAUGCGGUCGGAAAGGCACCCUACACGUAGCUCCUUCGACGAGUCGAGUUGUUUGGGAAUGCAGCUCUAAAUGGGAGGUAAAUUUCUUCUAAAGCUAAAUAUUGGCCAGAGACCGAUAGCGCACAAGUAGAGUGAUCGAAAGAUGAAAAGCACUUUGGAAAGAGAGUUAAAAAGCACGUGAAAUUGUUGAAAGGGAAGGGAUUGCAACCAGACUUGCUCGCGGUGUUCCGCCGGUCUUCUGACCGGUUCACUCGCCGCGUUGCAGGCCAGCAUCGUCUGGUGCCGCUGGAUAAGACUGGAGGAAUGUAGCUCCCUCGGGAGUGUUAUAGCCUCUAGUGAUGCAGCGAGCGCCGGGCGAGGUCCGCGCUUCGGCUAGGAUGCUGGCGUAAUGGUCGUAAUCCGCCCGUCUUGAAACACGGACCAAGGAGUCUAACAUCUAUGCGAGUGUUCGGGUGUCAAACCCCUACGCGUAAUGAAAGUGAACGGAGGUGAGAACCGCAAGGUGCAUCAUCGACCGAUCCUGAUGUCUUCGGAUGGAUUUGAGUAUGAGCAUAGCUGUUGGGACCCGAAAGAUGGUGAACUAUGCCUGAAUAGGGUGAAGCCAGAGGAAACUCUGGUGGAGGCUCGCAGCGGUUCUGACGUGCAAAUCGAUCGUCAAAUUUGGGUAUAGGGGCGAAAGACUAAUCGAACCAUCUUGGUGCU